RNAcentral lists this transfer RNA (79 nucleotides) under Vibrio cholerae. Its description in RNAcentral is "tRNA-OTHER". It matches the Rfam family "tRNA". From Rfam's summary of the family: Transfer RNA (tRNA) molecules are approximately 80 nucleotides in length. Their secondary structure includes four short double-helical elements and three loops (D, anti-codon, and T loops). Lineage: Bacteria; Pseudomonadati; Pseudomonadota; Gammaproteobacteria; Vibrionales; Vibrionaceae. The record is from RNAcentral.
GCGUCUAUAGCUCAGUUGGUUAGAGCACCACCUUGGACAUGGUUGGGGGUCGGUGGUUCGAGUCCACUUAGACGCACCA